Non-coding RNA from Pipra filicauda (Wire-tailed manakin), 1900 nucleotides. The record is from the annotation of a RefSeq genome assembly. NCBI's taxonomy places the organism in Eukaryota, Metazoa, Chordata, Aves, Passeriformes, Pipridae.
CCACGGCCACAUUAACCAUCACUGGGGUCCAAGCCGAGGACGAGGCUGUCUAUUUCUGUGAUGUCCUGUCAGUCACCUCCGAUGUCAGCCAAAGUGGGAGACACUGUGAAGAUCACCUGCUCUGGGGGCAGCUACAACUAUGGCUGGUACCAGCAGAAGGUCCCUGGCAGUGCCCCUGUCACUGUGAUCUAUGCUAAUAGCAACAGACCCUCAGACAUCCCUUCGCGAUUCUCCGGAUCCCAGUCCGGCUCCACGGGCACAUUAACCAUCACUGGGGUCCAAGCCGAGGACGAGGCUGUCUAUUUCUGUGGUUCUCUGAUCCAGGCAGCGCUGACUCAGCCGUCCUCAUUGUCUCACAGGGUGGGAGAAACCGUCAAGAUCACCUGCUCUGGGAGUAGCUACAGCUAUGACUGGUACCAGCAAAAGGUCCCUGGCAGUGCCCCUGUCACUGUGAUCUACGCCAAUAGCAACAGACCCUUGAGCAUCCCUUCGCGAUUCUCCGGAUCCAAAUCCGGCUCCACGGCCACGUUAACCAUCACUGGGGUCCAAGCCGAGGACGAGGGUCUCUAUUUCUGUGGUAGCUGGGACAGCAGCAUUCCUGCUGGUAUAUUCGGGGCUGGGACCAUGUUGACCAUCGCAGGCCAGCCCGUGGUCGCUCCCAACCUCUACGUCUUCCAACCGCCCUCUGAGCAGAUCUUGAAGGAGAACAAAGCCAUUCUAGUGUGUCUGAUACAGGGCUUUUACCCCAGCCCUGUGGAAGUGGAAUGGGUGGCUGACGGCACCGUCCUCACAAACAACGUGCAGACCAGUCAGCCCGUGCGGCAGAGCGACAGCAAGUACAUGGCCAGCAGCUACCUGACACUGGAUGCCAACCAGUGGCAAAAUUUCAGCACAUUCUCCUGCAAGGUCAAGCACGAGGCUGGCAAUGUGGAGAAGACAGUGAACAGAUCCUACUUUGCCAACAAGCUUAUUUUCCGGCUUGUGGGUGGAGGCUUAAAAGGGAGUCAAGGUCCACAGCACAGCCCCAUCAUUGCAGGGACGUGGAACUGGUGGGAUCACACCAUGGCCUGGGUCCCUCUCCUCCUCGUGGUGCUCGCCCACACCUCAGGUUCUCUGAUCCAGGCAGCACUGACUCAGCCGUCCUCAUUGUCUCACAGGGUGGGAGAAACUGUCAAGAUCACCUGCUCUGGGAGUAGCUACAGCUAUGACUGGUACCAGCAAAAGGUCCCUGGCAGUGCCCCUGUCACUGUGAUCUACGCUAAUAGCAACAGACCCUCGAACAUCCCUUCGCGAUUCUCCGGAUCCAAGUCCGGCUCCACGGGCACAUUAACCAUCACUGGGGUCCAAGCCGAGGACGAGGCUGACUAUUACUGUGUUGACUGGGAUGUGUUCGGGUCCGGGACCCGUGUGACCGUUAUAAGCCAGCCCGAGGUUUCUCCCACCCUCUACGUCUUCCAGCCGCCCUCUGAGCAGAUCUUGAAGGAGAACAAAGCCAUUCUGGUGUGUCUGAUACAGGGCUUCUACCCCGGCCAUGUGGAAGUGGAAUGGGUGGCUGACGGCACCACCCUCACAAACAACGUGCAGACCAGUCAGCCCGUGCGGCAGAGCGACAGCAAGUACAUGGCCAGCAGCUACCUGUCACUGACUCCCAAACAGUGGCAAAGUUACAGCACAUACUCCUGCAAGGUCAAGCACGAGGCUGGCAAUGUGGAGAAGACAGUGAACAGAUCCUAGUGCCCCUAAACCCACUGGGACCUCCUCGCAUCCACCAUCCCUUUGCUGGCUCCCUCCCUCCUCCCCACUUCUGGGGACAGUGGCUCCCCCCAGCCACCCACCUCGCUCCCCACAUCCCCCUGUCCCCUGCUCCUGUCCCCCCACUCUGAGUGUCAGACAAAUAAAA